This 702-nucleotide ribosomal RNA is filed under the name Bursaphelenchus tiliae. RNAcentral's name for it is "eukaryotic LSU rRNA". It matches the Rfam family "Eukaryotic large subunit ribosomal RNA", at positions 403 to 948 of the family's 3401-position model. Lineage: Eukaryota; Metazoa; Nematoda; Chromadorea; Rhabditida; Aphelenchoididae. The record is from RNAcentral.
AACCGGAAUAGUGGAAACGAAUGAAGUCGACGUAUCUACUGGGUAUUCAGCCGUCCGUGGCCGCAAUUGGGACGUUGUGUUGUUGCAAAACGCGCUUCGUUUCACUGUUGUGGUCGGGGCUGGUGCACUUGCCCAGGGAGUGCGCCGAGUUGUGUGGCAUCGUCGGACGAAACGCGUGUAGAGGACCGUUCGCGGAACCCUGCACGUGUGAAGUUUGGUUGGGGCUGCGCGGCUUCGUGGAGGCGUGGGUUUUUCGCGCAUGGCGGCGCCGGUUCGUCGGGUUCGCACGCUGCACAUGUGUAUCGUGCUUAUGCGGCGGGCCGGGGUUGUUGUGUGCACCGCGCUCUUCUCGGUGUAUGGUCGAUGACUCAUUCGACCCGUCUUGAAACACGGACCAAGGAGUUUACGGUAUGCGCGAGUUAUUGAGUUUGACGAAACUSAAAAGCACAAUGAAAGUGAGACUUUACUGUACUUAACGUGAUUGGGUGCGGCAUUCGUGCGGCCCAAGCAACGUUGCCCCGUUUCGAGGACUUGUCCUGUUGCGGAGGUUGAGCGUAUGCUGUGAGACCCGAAAGAUGGUGAACUAUGCCUGAACAGGACGAAGCCAGAGGAAACUCUGGUGGAAGUCCGAAGCGGUUCUGACGUGCAAAUCGAUCGUCUGAUUUUGGUAUAGGGGCGCAAGACUAAUCGRACCCWUCUAGU